RNAcentral lists this ribosomal RNA (468 nucleotides) under uncultured bacterium. RNAcentral's name for it is "partial 16S ribosomal RNA". It matches the Rfam family "Bacterial small subunit ribosomal RNA", at positions 28 to 507 of the family's 1533-position model. The record is from RNAcentral.
GACGAACGCUGGCGGCGUGCUUAACACAUGCAAGUCGAACGGCAAGGCCCUGCCAUCGUGGGGUGCUCGAGUGGCGAACGGGUGAGGAACACGAGAGUAACCUGCUCUUGACUUUGGGAUAACUUCAGGAAACUGGGGCUAAUCUCGUACAGGAGACCCCGCUGCAUGGUGGGGGUUGGAAAGUUUCGGCGGUCGGGGAUGGACGCGCGGGUAAUCAGCUUGUUGGUGGGGGAGUGGCUUACCAAGGCUUUGACGGGUCGCCGGCCGGAGAGGGGGGCCGGCGACAAGGGUACUGAGAGAGGGCGCAGUCUCGUACGGGGGGCAACAGGGGGGAGUAUUGCACAGUGAGCGGAAGCCGGAUGCAGCAACGCUGCGUUCGGAAUGACGUCCUUCUGGUUGUAAACCGCUGUAGCCUAUGACGAAGCGUGAGUGACGGUAAUGGGUAAAGAAGCACCGGCUAACUACGUG